UACGAAGGGGGCUAGCGUUGCUCGGAAUCACUGGGCGUAAAGGGUGCGUAGGCGGGUUUUUAAGUCAGGGGUGAAAUCCUGGAGCUCAACUCCAGAACUGCCUUUGAUACUGAAGAUCUUGAGUCCGGGAGAGGUGAGUGGAACUGCGAGUGUAGAGGUGAAAUUCGUAGAUAUUCGCAAGAACACCAGUGGCGAAGGCGGCUCACUGGCCCGGUAUUGACGCUGAAGAGCGAAAGCGUGGGGAGCAAACAGG
RNAcentral lists this ribosomal RNA (253 nucleotides) under uncultured bacterium. Its description in RNAcentral is "partial 16S ribosomal RNA". It matches the Rfam family "Bacterial small subunit ribosomal RNA", at positions 524 to 776 of the family's 1533-position model. The record is from RNAcentral.